This 253-nucleotide ribosomal RNA is filed under the name uncultured bacterium. RNAcentral describes it as "partial 16S ribosomal RNA". It matches the Rfam family "Bacterial small subunit ribosomal RNA", at positions 524 to 776 of the family's 1533-position model. The record is from RNAcentral.
UACGGAGGGUGCAAACGUUGCUCGGAAUUAUUGGGCGUAAAGCGCACGUAGGCGGCCGACUAAGUCGGGUGUGAAAGCCCUGGGCUCAACCCAGGAAGUGCACUCGAAACUGGUCGGCUUGAAUAUGGAAGAGGGUCGCGGAAUUCCCGGUGUAGAGGUGAAAUUCGUAGAUAUCGGGAGGAACACCAGUGGCGAAGGCGGCGACCUGGGCCAAUAUUGACGCUGAGGUGCGAAAGCGUGGGGAGCAAACAGG